CCCGCUGAACUUCAGCAUAUCAGUAAGCGGAGGACAAGAAACUAACAAGGAUUCCCUUAGUAGCGGCGAGCGAAGAGGGAGUAGCCCAUAACCGAAUCCCAUGGCGUGAUGCCAUUGGGAAAUGUGGUGUUGGGGUGGUUUCUUGUUGCGUGUCCUACAUAUCCUAAGUCCACGUGAUUGUGGCUCAUUCCCCAGAGAGGGUGUAAGGCCCGUUAGGAUUGCGGACGCGUGACGCGAAUCUACUCUAGAGUCGGUUUGCUUGGGAAUGCAGACCUAAUCGGGUGGUAAACUCCAUCCAAGGCUACAUAUAAGACGAGUCCGAUAGCGAACAAGUACCGUGAGGGAAAGCUGAAAAGAACUUUGAAGAGAGAGUUCAAUAGUGCGUGAAACCGCUCAGAGGUAAACGGGUGGAGCCGAAGUUGGCGCGGUGGUUGAUGUUUUCUGAUGUGCUCAUGGGCUGCGUUGCGGAUCCGUUAUAGGAACGCGCGUGGUUUGUGGUGUGCGUUGGUUGGCUGUUUUCCCCGUGCUGUCACCACGAUCGGCGAUGUGUUGCUCUAUUGUCGAGAGGAAGGUAGGGUUGUGCUCUUCGGGGUGUAACCUGUUAUAGACUCUUGGCGCGUGGAGUGAUGCGUUGCCGUGUAUGGCGAAGUAAGCCCAAUUUUAGUGGGCGCAUAUGGGUGCUUGCGUUGAUGCCCUCAGUGGGACACUCAUUGCCGAGUGUUGUAUUGAGUGUGUGUUGACGUUGAGCGCUCCUCUAUGCAUUACUUCAACAAUCUGUGGUGUUUUGUAGGCCAUCUACAUGUCCCGUCGUGAAACACGG
Molecule: ribosomal RNA, 820 nt
Filed under: uncultured fungus
Lineage: Eukaryota; Fungi
Description: eukaryotic LSU rRNA
Rfam family: Eukaryotic large subunit ribosomal RNA
Source: RNAcentral